RNAcentral lists this ribosomal RNA (466 nucleotides) under uncultured bacterium. Its description in RNAcentral is "partial 16S ribosomal RNA". It matches the Rfam family "Bacterial small subunit ribosomal RNA", at positions 28 to 507 of the family's 1533-position model. The record is from RNAcentral.
GAUGAACGCUGGCGGCGUGCUUAACACAUGCAAGUCGAACGAUGAAGCCCAGCUUGCCGGGUGGAUUAGUGGCGAACGGGUGAGUAACACGUGAGUAACCUGCCCUUAACUCUGGGAUAAGCCUGGGAAACUGGGUCUAAUACCGGAUAGGAGCGUCCACCGCAUGGUGGGUGUUGGAAAGAUUUAUCGGUUUUGGAUGGACUCGCGGCCUAUCAGCUUGUUGGUGAGGUAAUGGCUCACCAAGGCGACGACGGGUAGCCGGCCUGAGAGGGUGACCGGCCACACUGGGACUGAGACACGGCCCAGACUCCUACGGGAGGCAGCAGUGGGGAAUAUUGCACAAUGGGCGCAAGCCUGAUGCAGCGACGCCGCGUGAGGGAUGACGGCCUUCGGGUUGUAAACCUCUUUCAGUAGGGAAGAAGCGAAAGUGACGGUACCUGCAGAAGAAGCACUGGCUAACUACGUG